CUUCUCUCAACUCAUUCUUCUGUUCUCCAUUAGUCUUUUCCAAGUGUUCCUCAUGUCUUCGUUACUGCACAUCACAAUGUGUUGGACAACAAGCAUGAUGCAGCUACAGUUUGGGUGGAAGGAAUCACCACAAACGAUUUCAUUGUUUGUAUGAGAGAAGCAAGAACCUUUGAUGGACGCCAUAAGGACAUCGAUGUGACUUGGAUGGCAAUGACUGAAGUUCCCCAGACAUGGAAUUAUCAUGACUUUAUCAGRGUAGACUUUCCAAACACACUUGUACCAAGUGAAGCUGACAAUGAUGCCUUUUGCCAGAUUGUGAGUUUCCACGAGCCGUACUAUGCUNUC
This is a long non-coding RNA of Exaiptasia diaphana, 345 nucleotides long. RefSeq lists it as uncharacterized. The record is from RefSeq and is a predicted model, not a curated record. The transcript has 3 exons. NCBI's taxonomy places the organism in Eukaryota, Metazoa, Cnidaria, Anthozoa, Actiniaria, Aiptasiidae.